ACAUUUGAUGACCUUUUGUCAAAAAGUCUUUUUCCUGAGAGUUCACAGACUAGUAAACACUUACAUAACAUGUUGAGAAGAUAAGAAUUUAUGAUGACUGGUACUUGUUCUGCCUUUUCCUGAUACAGUUUUUUUGUUUGUUUGUUUGUUUGUUUGUUUUUAUACUUGUAUUUCUCCAACCUGCUAUAAAUCUACCUUUCUGCUGUUGGGAAAUUAAUUUCAGAAGCAUCGUUUCUUCCAAACUGUAAAAAUUAUAAAAUACUAAAAGUAAUCCAGUGUGUUUGUGGUCAAAAGAGUAAAAUAUGUAAAGGAUUUAUUAUCCAUUUAAAAAGAGACAAAAAUUGUCCACUCACUGGUUCAAACAAUUCUCCUGCCUCAGCCUCCCGGGUGGGUGGGAUUAUAGGUGGCCGCCACCACAGCCAGCUAAUUUCAGGGAUUGAUUUUAAAAGAGAAUGCCCACUCUUUCCUUGCCUAACGCAGCCAUGGCUCGUGGUCCCAAGAAGCAUCUGAAGCGGGUAGCAGCUCCAAAGUAUUGGAUGCUGGAUAAAUUGAGUGGUGUGUUUGCUCCUCGUCCAUCCACCGGUCCCCACAAGUUGAGAGAGUGUCUCCCCCUCAUCAUUUUCCUAAGGAACAGACUUAAGUAUGCCCUGACAGGAGAUGAAGUAAAAAAGAUUUGCAUGCAGCGGUUCAUUAAGAUCGAUGGCAAGGUCCGAACUGAUAUAACCCAGCCUGCUGGAUUCAUGGAUGUCAUCAGCAUUGACAAGACGGGAGAGAAUUUCUGUCUGAUCUGACACCAAGGGUCGCUUUGCUGUACAUCGUAUUACACCUGAGGAGGCCAAGUACAAGUUAUGCAGAGUGAGAAAGAUCUUUGUGGGCACAAAAGGAAUCCCUCAUCUGGUGACUCAUGAUGCCUGCACCAUCCGCUACCCCGAUCCGCUCAUCAAGGUGAAUGAUACCAUUCAGAUUGAUUUGGAGGCUGGCAAGAUUACUGAUUUCAUCAAGUUCGACACUGGUAACUUGUGUAUGGUGACUGGAGGUGCUAACCUGGGAAGAAUUGGUGUGACCACCAACAGAGAGAGGCACCCUGGAUCUUUUGACAUUGUUCACAUGAAAGAUGCCAAUGGCAACAGCUUUGCCACUCGACUUUCCAACAUUUUUGUUAUUGGCAAGGGCAACAAACCAUGGAUUUCUCUUCCCCAAGGAAAGGGUAUCUGCCUCACCAUUGCUGAAGAGAGAGACAAAAGACUGGCGGCCAAACAGAGCAGUGGGUGAAAUGGGUCCCUGGGUGACAUGUCAGACCUUUGUACGUAAUUAAAAAUAUUGUGGCAGGGAAAAAAAAAAAAA
Cercocebus atys (sooty mangabey) is the source of this 1344-nucleotide RNA transcript. It is a transcript of the gene named 40S ribosomal protein S4, X isoform-like, with no coding region annotated. The transcript has a single exon. Lineage: Eukaryota; Metazoa; Chordata; Mammalia; Primates; Cercopithecidae. The record is from RefSeq and is a predicted model, not a curated record.